GGACGCCUUUGCAACAAGUGGAUCUAGUCCCGUUGGUCGGCUGCUCGCGGAGAAGCAACAGAGGGAGCUCAGCCUCGUGGGGAGGAGGGCGGGCUCCACAAGAGAGCGACAUUCAAUGCUCUAAAAAGGAAGGUUCCUCUACACCAGUGCAGUAAAUGUGUAGCUUCUUUCCAAAAGGUAAGUCCUUCUGAAAAAAAUGUUAUAGAAAUUGGAAAGAAAAUUGCUAUAAUAUGCCCUGGACUCAACUGAUAUGAUACAUUUUGAUAGUUUUGAUCUGGACAUAAUACAGAGUUGCCUCACUACUUUGCGGUUCGCUUUUCGCGGAUUCGCUGUUUCGCGGUUUUUCAAUAAACUCUAAAAGAAUAUUAUAAAUAAAAAAUUACAAUUUACAGCCUAAGGAAGGGAGGAAGGAGAAGCUAAAGGGAGAGGAAAGGAGCCCAAGCGGCAACGGGAAGAGAAGGAGGCAAUUUAUCAACAUCCGAUUGGUUGAUAAAGACUUAAAAUAGUGUAUAACAACUACAAUAAUGUAUAAAUAUUAAAAUAAGUGUCCCUACUUUGUGGAUAUUUUCUUAUUGCGGGUGGUCCUGGAACCUAACCCCCUCAAUAAGUGAGGGAACACUGUAUUCUACUUCUAGUGUACAAUACGCUGCCACCUAUAACUCGUUUUUCUUUUUCUUUUCUCUUUUUACUUGGUAGCUUUUAGAAAAAAAAAUCCACUCAUAUGCCCUGGAGCAGCGUUAGUUUGCUCCAAAUUCAGGGCCAUUGUUCAGAUGGUGGGAGAUAACUGCUGCUCCACUGGGGUAACAUACAUCUUACCUCCUCUGUGUUGCCACUGCUGCUCCUAGCUGGCCACAAAGUUGACUACUUUGUGCAAGUUCCUGGCUGUUGUGGGUACCUCUGCUGACAUCAGAAUGAGGCAUCCACACCACUAGCAUGAUAGAAAUGGGAGAUACCCUCUCUUCUUCUUGAUUUUGCAGAUGCCCUGUUCUGAUCUCAGCAGAGGCGCCUGCAUAACCAGACAGACGAGGGGAAGCCACUUGGUUGCAUGGCCACCUCUGCAGCAUGAGUGCCAUCCAUCUGCUUUCCCUGUGCUAGUGUGCACGGGGAAAGGGUGAUGACACUAGUACUCAGUCGGGAAUACAAUUCAAGCUGAAUUGGAUCUGAACUUACUGUUCAGACUGCUCCAAAGCCGCAGGAUAUUCUGGCGUUCCCAGAAAAGGUGAAUACUCACCUGACAUAGCUGUGCAUCAUGAAGACAGACAGCCUUCCAUUGGGGUGAGUCCAGUGGUUUUGACCAGUGCAUACAAGACCCCGGUCUUUUUCUGAUUUCUUAAUUAUACUCUCCGUUAUGACUAAUAACUGAGCCAAGGUAUGGAAAAUCUUUUAAGAAUUUCAAUCUAGUCCUUAUCCACUUUAAAUCUUAUACAUUUUAAGGGGUUAUUGUUUUUACUUUCUUAAUGGAUAAUUUAGCUCUUAGCUUUGUAUUUUCAUCUUUAAUUUUCAUCAGCAACCUAUUUAGUGUCUUUGCUAUGCUCUGAUAGUAAUAUUGUGGUGUUUUGUACCUUAAAUUGUUGAUUUUUUUCCUCCUGUUUUUAUACCUCUCUUCCUCUUAAUCUAUUCCCACAUUCUGUAUAAAAUUUGUGCACAACCUAAAUAUACUCCUUCUGUCCUUUCAAGUUGCUGCAGAGUUUGUUUGCUUUGCAGGCUAAAGUUUUUCUUUUCCUCUUCCUUAUAUUUGGUAGGUGUGGCUGGUUAGGCUACUUGUUGUUACAGGUGUAUUAUUACAGGAACAUUUGGAGAGGAAUCUGGAAAGUAAACGUGCAAAUAACUGAUAGAGGAUUUAUAAUUAUAUAAUACUGAGAGACAUGGCUAUCCAUUAGCACUUUAAAAGCACAUGGUAUUUAGAAUUUCUGACUGAUUCAUUUUUAAAAUUCCCAAAAUGCUAUAAAGAGAACUAUGCAGUUCAUUCAUGCCUUGCCUGUUUCACAUUGCCAUUAUAUAUAUUUGCACUGGUAAAACGUUAUGUAAAAGAAUAUUGUUCAUAUAAUUGCACAUAAAUUAUUUUUCUCCCAAACUUAUGAUCUUGCAACCUUGGUGAUGCUCCUGCAGGAAGGAGGCACUGCUUCAGAGAAAAAAAACCUGUUUGCCCUUUUGGCAGUGGAAGCAUGUGAAGCAAUUGAUGGUGGAGCGCCAGAGAUUGACUGGGAUUUGUUGAUUGUUAAUUGUAGCAGAAUUUAGCUGUCUUAAGUCAUGACCAGCUUGGUUCACAAUCAGGACAUCAGGGUUAAGAUAUGCAUCCUUUUGUGGGUGCAUCAGCACUGUAGAAUUAUUGCAGUUAGACACCACUUUGACUGCCCUGGCUCAUUGCUGUAAAAUCCUGGGAAGACAGGGACCUCUGUAGCAGAAAAUUCAAAAGACCCUGCCCUAAACUAUAUUUCCCAGAAUUCUGUCCGUUUCCCGCGUUAAAGCCUCAAUGUAAAUGUGGUCUCUGCCCGUCUUUCUCUGGUCUGGCCAUAUGCUGGAGGAGUUUAUUCCUUGCCUGGCCAUCCAUCCAGCCAGACAUCCCUCACACCCUUCCUCCCCCCCUUUGCCACCCCCUUUGGGGAAAGAGUGGGGUUUCUCUCUUCACACUGGCCUUGCCAUCUUCCUCAGGGCCCUUUGGGAGAAUUAAAUCCAGCCCUAUUGGGGGAGAAGCGGUGUCCGCAACGGAGACCUGGAGCCAUUUACAAGACUUACAUAACUCUUCUGUAAGUCGUUGGUCAGUGUUUUGAAUCUUAAGUUUUUUGCAUGGGCACCUCUUGCAUUUGUUAAUAUCGAGUCGUAUGUAUGAAUCUUACAAAAUAGAUAUGACAAAUGAGGAACAAAUUAAAUGUUGCACAGCCCUACACCUCAUGUAAGAAAUUGAUCCAGUGUGACUUACACAGAAAUAAUCAAAUUGAUUCAAUUUAUUAAAGGGUUAAACAUAAUAGAGUUUAAGGGGUACAGCUGCUGCUAGGUCCAUUCCUGAUCCUAAUGCUUCGAAACCCCACAACUUUGUACCCCAGGAAAAGGUUUUUAAUAAAAAGGAAAAUCAUAUAUAAGUCCGUGCCUUAUGGGACUUAUCAGCCUUUCGCAGGGCAUAUAAAACACACCUGUUUCAGCAGGCUUUUGAUCUCUGUUACUGCUAUUUUUAAAUUAUUUUAGAUUUUAGCCUGUUCUUGUAAGCUGCCCCAAGCUCUAGGGGAGUGGUGGCAUAUAAGUUUGAAUAAUAAAUAAAUAAAUAUCUAUUUGUAGUUUUUGUGAACUAUAAAUCUUUCAAGUGGGGGGAGUACUGUGGCUAGAUAACAAUUGCACCAAUUCUGUAUAAUUCUUGUGUCCAUGGUCACUACAUUAUUGAUAUGUGUGUUUGUGUGGGUUCUAAAGAAGUGACCAACUCAUUAGAAAACACCUUUAAUAAUAAUAAUAAUAAUAAUAAUAACAACUUUAUUUUUGUAUGCCGCCUCCAUCUCCCCCAACGGGGACUCGGAGCGGCUCACAUGGGGAGCAAGCCCAGUCAAUCACAUUUAACAUCAGAAGGUCAUCCGUCAUACAAAAAGCAUCAUAAUAAAAACAAUUUAAACAAAACAUAGUUAAAAGACAUCAUUAAGACACAAUAAUAAAAUUACUAACAAUCACCAUAUGCCAGUAAAAAAGUCCAAUAUAGAACAUAAAUGGGCAACAAUCCAAACUGAUAAAAGUAUCUAUAUCAAGAUAGGCAUACUUGGAAAAAAUAUAAAAGGGAAGAUGAAUCUAGGUGGAAAUACAGUUGUAAAGUGACAAGGAAGUUUCAAUAUAGAUAAGGGUCAGGUAUAACAGACUUGUUUAGUCGAAAGCAUGACCAAACAGCCAUGUUUUUAACUGUUUCUGAAAGACAUCGAUUUGUCAUGAAAUACAUUUGUCAUGUAUUUCAUGACAAAUAACAGGCAGCAUUUAAAACUGGGCAAAAAGAAAUCCAACGCAAGGGACAACUGAGCAUCACCAGUACAUUGCUCUUUUCCGGUCAACAGACUGGGCUAUUGAUGUCCCCUCUGUCUCAUAUAGGCAUCCAUGUGCAAGUUUAAAAGAGAGCUCAACUACAUACAGACUUUAUAGGGAUAUUAAAGACCUUGCACCCAGUAUUUAAAAUGCCCAGCAUUCAAGGUUUGCUAUGCCAGGUGCAGACAUAAUAAAAAUUAUCUUCCCAUAAAUUUGAGGCAGAUUUUAAAAAGAAUUAAGGUGUGUUUAUAGAACAGCCUCAAGAGAGAGAGAUUUCAUUUACUGAGGUCGAAUUUUCAUUUCUGCAUAUUUGUAAGAAUAAUGGUGUCCCUUUCCAGCAACCCAGUUGAUGCCAUCAGCAUAAGAGGUAUGUUCCCCCCUGAGGUACAGGCCAUUCAGGUUGGAUGUGUGGCAAUGACUAUACCACCAGCCUCCCUUAUACAUCACAGCACAGCUUCCUGAUUCAUAGCCAUCAUUGUCCCUGUCUCGUGUGGAGAAUGCAAAGCCACUGUGCCCUGAAAAUGAAUCACCUGAAAGAGAAUGAAAAAAGGAAAAGCAGAUAUAAACUCUUCAGAAUCAACUUAGUAUGUGUUCUCUAUGUGAUGAAAAUGCAAAUUUGUUGCUAGAAAAUAUUAAACAAGUGAUCAAACCAAAGGAAAUUGUUUGCAUUCAGAAGGUCCCUGUUUCUCUGUAUAAGUUUGGGAAAAAAACCCUUUCUUGGACCAGAAAGAUUAACUGCCACUUCAUGUAGACUAGGGUAUGGACAAAUUUUGCAGGUAGGAAUGGGAGCUUACAUCCCUCAUUUCAAUGUAGUGGGGCCAGAUAUAUGUUCAACAUUGGAUUCCUCCAAAGCUUUCUAAGGGUCCUAUUCCUUUCGUUGUUUCUAGUUUUGUUAUUCAUUUAGGACAGUUAACUAAAUAUUUAAAACAAUGCAAAUUAAAAACAAAUCACCCACUAACAUAGCAUAUAAACGUCAUAUUUACAAACAAUUAAAAUAUAACUUAAAGCAUUAUUAUUAUUAUUAUUAUUAUUAUUAUUAUCAUCAUUUAUACACCAUUUUUUCUUUCCACAUUAAACAUUAAAGUGUUGUAGUAGAGCCUGUGAGUAACGUUACAAUCAGUAGUAUGGGCGCCAGAAGGGGAAAAAGGGUUACUCAGGAGCAGGAAUCCAAUGAUGAGCAGCAGAGAAAGAAGAUCCGGGACAUACUUACAGCAUCUAUAGAUGAGGAGUCGUUUGAGGGAUUCUCUGGGGAUGAUAAUGUUGCAGACAGUAGUAUGGGUGUCAGAAGGGGGGAGAGUUACUCGGGAGCAGGAAUCUGAUGAUGAGCAGCAGAGAAAGAGAAUUCGGGACAUACUUACAGCACCUACAGAUGAAGAGUCGUUUGAGGGAUUCUCUGAGGAUGAUGGGUCAAUGAGUGAAGGAGAAGAAGGAGACACCAUGGAUUGGACUAAGAUAAGAGAAGUGCAAGCUAUUUGUGAGGCACCAACAACUAGUGAUACCUGUAUGGGGUUCUCUGGGAGUGAAGACUGGUAAUCAGGGGAUCCAACUUAUUCUUGGGGGGGAUCUAAGUCUUGACAGGAGAUGGAGGAAUUAGAGGGAGAGUCAAAGGAAUUCACGUGAAGAGCUGGGAGCAGCUGUGGGGGAUGGUGAUGGGGCGGUGGUCAGUUCAUCCUCUGAUGAUGGUUUGUAGAUAAAAGUGGGUUCAGGGGUGAGGGGUCUUUGCAGAAGGCAAGGUGUUGAUGUGUGUUCGUGUGCUGUGUAUUGGGAAAGUUUCUUGUAGUCUUGCUGCUUCCUGUUUCAUGUUCGGCGUUGGACUCGGAUCUGCAGUUUGGACUGGUUUGGCUGGAGACGCUGCUUCUGCAGACAUUGGAGCAACACUGCUUUGAUUCCUCCUGCUUUGACCUUGGACUUUGGCUGACCAUGCUUCUCUUCUUGCAACUCCCUCUUUUAACCAUUUGUGUAAGGUGCCUUUUGUUUUGCCUUAGAGCACUUUGUUUGACUUGUUGAUUUUUGCAUCCAGUUGAUUUCUGUUUACCUUUUGUACCAGGUGUGGUUUUUGAGUUUUUGACCAGUGGAACUGCAUUUAAGUAUCCCUGCGUCCUUUUCCUUUUGUUUCAAUAAACUCUGUUUUGAA
Anolis carolinensis (green anole) is the source of this 6127-nucleotide long non-coding RNA. RefSeq lists it as uncharacterized. Lineage: Eukaryota; Metazoa; Chordata; Lepidosauria; Squamata; Anolidae. The record is from RefSeq and is a predicted model, not a curated record. The transcript is spliced from 2 exons.